This 576-nucleotide ribosomal RNA is filed under the name uncultured Alphaproteobacteria bacterium. RNAcentral's name for it is "partial 16S ribosomal RNA". Lineage: Bacteria; Pseudomonadati; Pseudomonadota; Alphaproteobacteria. The record is from RNAcentral.
GUCGCAUGCUCCCGGCCGCCAUGACGGCCGCGGGAAUUCGAUUCGUAUUACCGCGGCUGCUGGCACGGAGUUAGCCGGAGCUUAUUCUCCCGAUACUGUCAUUAUCAUCCCGGGUAAAAGAGCUUUACAACCCUAAGGCCUUCAUCACUCACGCGGCAUUGCUGGAUCAGGCUUUCGCCCAUUGUCCAAUAUUCCCCACUGCUGCCUCCCGUAGGAGUCUGGGCCGUGUCUCAGUCCCAGUGUGGCUGAUCAUCCUCUCAGACCAGCUAAGGAUCGUCGCCUUGGUGCGCCUUUACCACACCAACUAGCUAAUCCUACGCGGGCUCAUCCCUCGGCGAUAAAUCUUUGGACUUACGUCGUCAUCCGGUAUUAGCAGUCAUUUCUAACUGUUAUUCCGAACCAAGGGGCAGAUUCCCACGCGUUACGCACCCGUGCGCCACUAAGGCCGAAGCCUUCGUUCGACUUGCAUGUGUUAGGCAUGCCGCCAGCGUUCGUUCUGAGCCAUGAUCAAACUCUAAUCACUAGUGAAUUCGCGGCCGCCUGCAGGUCGACCAUAUGGGAGAGCUCCCAACGCGU